RNAcentral lists this ribosomal RNA (1431 nucleotides) under metagenome. RNAcentral's name for it is "bacterial SSU rRNA". It matches the Rfam family "Archaeal small subunit ribosomal RNA". The record is from RNAcentral.
GUUGAUCCUGCGGGAGAUUGCUGCUAUUGGAGUUCGACUAAGCCAUGCAAGUUCAGAGGAAGUUUACUUCCUCAGCAAAAUGCUCAGUAACACGUCAAUAAUCUACCCUUGAGUCAGGGAUAACUUCAGGAAACUGAGGAUAAUACCUGAUAAGAAAUAAGAUUUGGAAAGACUUAUUUCUCAAAGAUUACGCUCAAGGAUGAGUUGGCGGCUGAUUAGGUCGUUGGUGAGGUAAAGGCUCACCAAGCCAAAGAUCAGUAGGGGCCUUGAAAGAGGGAGCCCCGAGAAGGUCACUGAGAUACUGGACCUAGCCUUACGGGGUGCAGCAGGCGCGUAACCUUUACAAUACACGAAAGUGUGAUAAGGGAACUCCAAGUGCUCAUGUUUUCAUGGGCUUUUGCCAAGAGUAAAUAUCUUGGAGAAUAAGUGGUGGGCAAGACCGGUGCCAGCAGCCGCGGUAACACCGGCGCCACAAGUGGUGAUCAGCAUUAUUGGGCCUAAAGCGUUCGUAGCUGGUUGGAUAAAUUUUCUGUGAAAGUGCCAAGCUUGACUUGUCAUAUUACAUAAAACACUGUUCAACUUGAGACCGGGAGGGGUAAGAGGAAUUCCUUGGGAAGCGGUAAAAUGCUAUAAUCCUAGGAAGACCACCGAUGGCGAAGGCAUCUUACCAGAACGGUUCUGACAGUGAGGAACGAAAGCCAGGGGAGCAAACCGGAUUAGAUACCCGAGUAGUCCUGGCCGUAAACGCUGCGAGCUAGGUGUUGCAUAUUCUUCGGGAAUUUGCAGUAUCGAAGCGAAGGUGAUAAGCUCGCCGCCUGGGAAGUAUGGUCGCAAGGCUGAAACUUAAAGGAAUUGGCGGGGGAGCACUACAAGGGGUGCGGCGUGCGGUUUAAUCUAACUCCACACAGAGAAUCUCACCAGAAGCGACGGCAGUAUGAAGGUCAAGCUGAAGACUUUACCUGACAAGCCGAGAGGUGGUGCAUGGCCGCCGUCAGCUCGUGCCGUGAGGUGUCCAGUUAAGUCUGGUAACGAGCAAGACCUGUAUCUACAAUUGCUAACGACUAAUUUUUUAGGAUUGAGCACAUUGUAGGGACUGCCCUGGAAACAGGGAGGAAGGUGCAGGCUACGGUAGGUCUGUAUGCCCCGAAUCUUCUGGGCUACACGCGCGCAACAAUGGUAAAGACAAUGGGAUGCAACUCUGAAAAGAGAAGCUAAACCUCGAAACUUUAUCUCAGUUCAGAUUGAGGAUUGUAACUCAUCCUCAUGACGUUGGAAUCCCUAGUAAUCGGAGUUUAUCAGACUCCGGUGAAUACGUCCCUGCUCCUUGCACACACCGCCCGUCAAACCAACCGAGCAGGGUUUAGAUGAGCUUUAGUUUCUUGAUUAGAGCGAAUCUAGAUUCAGUGAGGUGGGUUAAGUCGUCACAAGGUC